GCGGUAGCAUAGAGCGGCACGGGCCUUACUAGUCUCUGCGCCCCCUAGAGGAUGGGGUCUGGAAAUGGGGCUGAGCUGAAUAAGAAAACAUGAAAAAUUGCCGUAUUUUAUGCAUUUUAAAGACAUAUGAACAAGAAUGUAUAUUUAUGGCUGAUGCUACACUUAAAGGAGGCAUUUACCACAGCUGUGACAUCUUUCUGCAAUGAGGAGGAAGUUGGGAACAGACUUGUACCACUCUGAAGGAUGUGCCAGACUGUCUGGACUCUCAUAGUCUCUCUCUACCCUGCCCCACCUCCCCCUCAUCUAGCUGCUGGAGAGGAAUUUGAAAAAGAUUGUAGUGCCUGAGGAAGUCUGUUCUAUGAUACUUGGAUUGCUGAGGAUUCAGAUGUGGAAUGCCAGAUGUGGAAUGCCAGUUCAGAGAGGACAGUGAUGAUGAUCAACUGAGAUGAGUUAAAUCCACUAGGUUCAGCAAACAAGUUCGUUCUCUCUCUCUCUCUCUCUCUCUCUCUCUCUCUCUCUCUCUCUCUCACACACACACACACACACACACACACACACACAGAGCUAGAGGAAGAAGUCUGCUUCAGGAACAAAUCUGUAUGCUGGGAAGUAUAUAAUAUCCUAUCAUUAGCUGAGUUCACUCAUCUUUGGUGCCUCCUCGUCAACUUCUCAAAAACUGAGUCAACUUUUCUAUUAACAAAGAGGGUAUGUGUUUAUAUGGAAGCCCAAAAUGACUCCUCAAACAGCAAUACACAAUAGCUUCCAAAUUAAUAUUGAGAAAGGUACUGUGGCAGAAUGGACAGAUUGAAGGGUUUGAAUCAGGGAAAACUGGUUCAAAUCCCUACUCAGUCACAAUGAUUACUGGAUAUUAUGUGCCAUAAACUAAUCCCACAGGAUUGCUGUGGGAGUUAUGCCAUCUAUCCACAUAAAUUUCUUGGGGGGAAAGGCAGGAUACAAAUAUUUUAUCUCAAUUAGUUUCCCUAGAUGAUAAAUUCCAAGUGCCCUAUCAAAGAAAAUUAUUCUGGAGGUAAUCCUCACUUAGGCCACCUUAAGUGACACAGCAGGGAAAUUAUUGACUAACAAGCAGAAGGUUGCCAGUUCGAAUCCCUGCUGGUAUGUUUCCCAGACUAUGGGAAACACCUAUAUCAGGCAGCAGCAAUAUAGGAAGAUGCUGAAAGGCAUCAUCUCAUACUGCACGGGAGGAGGAGAGUUAGCCUGGUUCUCCCAUUUUACAAACCAUAUUUUAAAACUAGAAUCUACAUUCAGCAUCUUUGAACUUAGCUAAUGUUCUAUACCUUAUUAUCUGUCACCAUCCAUUGACCAUCAGUAUUCUGCUUGAAAACACAGUGGUUCCGAGAUAUCAUCAAUGGGCAAGAUUUUGACAUCAGUUGGUAGGUGACACCAGCUCCACGGCCUAUAGUUACCUGAAAGACAGGGAAAAAAUAUUGUCAACUACUCCCCCUUACCAACAAAUCACUGGUCCUGAGUUUAAAAGCUGCAGAGGAGGCACUCUGCAUUUGUUUCCUACUGGAGAUCAAAUAAACCA
Hemicordylus capensis (graceful crag lizard) is the source of this 1546-nucleotide long non-coding RNA. RefSeq lists it as uncharacterized. The transcript is spliced from 5 exons. The record is from RefSeq and is a predicted model, not a curated record. NCBI's taxonomy places the organism in Eukaryota, Metazoa, Chordata, Lepidosauria, Squamata, Cordylidae.